Molecule: RNA transcript, 2720 nt
Organism: Daucus carota subsp. sativus
Lineage: Eukaryota; Viridiplantae; Streptophyta; Magnoliopsida; Apiales; Apiaceae
Exons: 9
Source: RefSeq, a predicted model, not a curated record
UUUUUUUGCAAAGCCCUUUCCCUCUUCUUUCUUUUACUCCCUUUGUUCCUUUCUUUUUCUAAUGUUUUCAAUUGCAAUAAUAUCUUAGUCAUAAUCACCUCUACUAUCUUCUUUUAUCGUUUCUUUAAUUGUUUAUAUACAUGCUCCUGUCCCUUUCAUUUGAUUGAUUAUAUGAACAUAUACAACUACCAUGUUUAGCUCUUUCUUUUUUUGUUUCUUGAAAGUGAUACCCAUAUAUUAUUCUAUUUAAUUGUGUUCUUGGAUGCUGCUGAGCUCUUUUUAGACCAUGUAUUUUACUAAUAUUUACACAUCUUCUUGUUCCUAUUGUUUCAUUUCUUGGAUGUUUUUAAAGAUUUGAUUUUUAUCCCUUGUUUUUCUAGGACCCUGUUUUUGGCUUCCAACGACUAAAUAAAAAUGUUCAUUAUUUGCAUAGAUUACCAAUUUAUACAUAGCAAUCAAGCUUAAGUUAAUGGCGACUGCAACGAUGGCCACAGCGGCUGGUGCAGCUGCACUUUUGUAUUAUACUCUUAACAAGAAAUUACAAUCAAAGCCAUCUUCUGGAGAAGAUGAUGCUGAUGAUUCUGAUGAAAACGUCAGCCCUGGACAAAGCAAUGUCCACACAGGUAUUCAUCGUGUUUCCAACAGGCUUAUUCAAGCCCCUGCGACAUGGUUGGAGACGAUUUCAACAUUGUCGGACACCCUUAAGUUUACAUACUCCGAGACUCUUGGAAAGUGGCCUAUAGGAGAGUUGGCGUUUGGUAUCAGUUUCCUUUUAAAGCAACAGGGGAAUUAUCAAGUCCACAGUGUGUUCGGUGGGAAAGAUAGUGUGCAACUAAAAGGAGAUGAAAUAACUUUAGAGCUUCGAUAUUUUUUGCACUUGCUGACUUUAUGUUGGCAUUUCUCUAAGAAACCUUUUCCUUUAUUUUUGGAAGAAACAGGCUUCUCAAAAGAGAAUGUUCUUCUUCAGGAACCUAAAGCUGGAAUUCUUAAGCCAGCUUUUACAGUGCUAGUAGAUCAUAAAACAAAAUCCUUCCUUCUACUUAUUCGUGGAACUCAUAGUAUUAAAGAUACCCUGACAGCCGCUACUGGAGCAGUGGUACCAUUUCAUCACACAGUUGUACAUGAGGAAGGAGUUAGUAAUUUGGUAUUGGGUUAUGCACAUGGUGGAAUGGUUGCAGCUGCUCGAUGGAUUGCCAAACUUGCAACUCCUUGUCUCAUCAAAGAGCUGAAGACAUUUCAUGAUUAUAAACUGAAGAUUGUUGGACAUUCUUUGGGGGGGAGCACUGCAGCACUUUUAACCUAUGUCAUGCGAGAGCGGAAGGAAUUGGCUACUGCUUCCUGUGUUACAUUUGCUCCAGCUGCUUGUAUGACCUGGGAUUUGGCAGAAUCUGGCAAUGAAUUCAUUACAACUCUUAUCAAUGGAGCUGAUUUAGUGCCUACUUUCUCCGCUGCUUCAGUGGAUGACUUGCGCACUGAGGUCACCGCAUCUGCUUGGGUUAAUGAUUUAAAAAGUCAAAUUGAGCGUACUAGAAUACUUAGUACUGUAUAUCGGUCUGCAUCUGCACUUGGUUCUCGACUUCCGUCUAUAGCUAGCACUAGAGCAAGAGUAGCUGGUGCUGGUGCAAUACUUCGUCCGGUUUCUACUGGCACCCAGGUUGUGAUGAAGAGAGCCCAAACCAUGGCUCGGGCAGCAUGGUCGCGCCCGUCUUCUGAGUUAUCAUCAUGGUCGUGCAUAGGCCCCCGUCGCCGCCCCACCACUACUCGUACGCGUUCAAAUAUUGCCGAAUGUUCCAUAGGUUCGUCAUCUAGCAUAAGGGAAACCUUAGAGCCUCUCAAACCUCCCCAAGAGUCCAUAACAGCCAUUGAAGCCAUCGAGCGACCUGAGACCAGGGUUUUGAGUUUGGAACCUGAAUGCUCUCCUACAAAUGAACUAGGCUUGAAUUGUGAAACUGAUGUUGAUUAUAAUGACAACCUCGUUGGUCCUAAUACACGAGAAGACAGUAUGACGGAAGUUGAGCUAUGGCAACAACUUGAGCACGAGCUCUAUGACCAGCAUGAAAGUGAUGGAGAUAAUGCAGCAAAAGAAAUGAGGGAAGAAGAGGCAGAAGCUAUCUCUGAGAUGAGCGAGAGAGACCAUGCAAGCUCUGUGCUGAAUACAAGAGAGGUACACAGAUUUUUACCUCCGGGAAAGAUAAUGCAUAUAGUUACUCUUGUUGGCGAUGAGGCAGAGAAUGAAACUAAUAGCAGUACAUCCAGUGACAGUGGUAGUAGCCAGCCAGAGACAAAGAUUGGCAUAUUUCUUACCUCACGAUCAUUGUAUAGUAAAUUGAGGCUGUCGCGGACUAUGAUUGCUGAUCACUUCAUGCCCGUCUAUAGAAGACAAAUUGAAAAAUUGAUUGCAGAACUUGAAAAAGAAGAUACAGAAGCAGAGGUUCUCUCUUAGAGCACGAGCUUACCCUUGUUCAGCCUCCGAUCAAAUAUGUCUCAUAUGUUUAGCUUUUUUAAUAUUCCUCAAAAGCUUCAACAACAAGCUCUUCCGGAGAUACAGAGAUAAAUCACAUCACACACCCUCCAUCCAUCCAGCAAGGAAUGUCUGUGAGUGAAGAAGCCAUUGUAAAUUGUAAUCAAUCCUGCAAUAAUUGAUCAAUCAGUUGAGUGUGCUAGCUGCGAUUGCUGUGGAUUCACAGAGGAGUGCACGCAGGCCUACAUUCACAGCAUUC